GGGAACUAGUACAUGGUUCAAGUACUUCGAUGCUUGAAGGCCUCCUAGUGUGAUAAUUAUCUACGCUGCUGGCUUAGUCGUUGUGCGUAUUGUCCAUGGAAUGCUCUUGCUUCUAACUGUCUCGCAAGGGACUAGUCCGCUCAAGGGCUACUAAUGACUAUUGUGACCUCAAAUCAGGUGGGACUACCCGCUGAACUUAA
RNAcentral lists this unclassified non-coding RNA (200 nucleotides) under soil metagenome. RNAcentral describes it as "partial contains internal transcribed spacer 2 and large subunit ribosomal RNA". The record is from RNAcentral.